GUGAUUAGCAGAAUCCCGUGAACCAUCGAGUCUUKGGAMCGCAAGUUGCGCCCGAAGCCAUUAGGCCGAGGGCACGUCUGCCUGGGCGUCACAC
This 94-nucleotide ribosomal RNA is filed under the name Sibbaldia procumbens. Its description in RNAcentral is "partial 5.8S ribosomal RNA". It matches the Rfam family "5.8S ribosomal RNA", at positions 67 to 154 of the family's 154-position model. From Rfam's summary of the family: 5.8S ribosomal RNA (5.8S rRNA) is a component of the large subunit of the eukaryotic ribosome. It is transcribed by RNA polymerase I as part of the 45S precursor that also contains 18S and 28S rRNA. The record is from RNAcentral. Lineage: Eukaryota; Viridiplantae; Streptophyta; Magnoliopsida; Rosales; Rosaceae.